UAUACCCUACCUUGUUCCCUCACUUUGCUCUUGUCACCUUUUCAGAAGCAACUUUCCUCUCCAUCCCACACCUCUGCCCUCUGCUAGGGCACAUCAUCCACACGUCUCCAAGCUACCAAAACUCCUUUCGUGUUACAGCCCUACUCAAGUUCCUGGAGUUGUGCUAACCCUUGGUUAAGGACUUUUGCUUUCUGUACCCAAAACAAAAGAUGAGAGGGAGGCCCGAGAUGAAUCCGGGAGACGCAGCAGUGCAGCUUAGAUCUUCGUGUCUAGAUGUCUUAGGAGUAGUUUCGUGGCCAUGAGGCCUUUUGUAUCAGUUGCCGUGGUGGCAACCCUUUUGCAAGACUGUUAGACUUUUAGACUUGUGUUUCCUCUAAGUAAUUCCGGAUGACUGUAACAAUUACCAUUUCUUUAUCGUCUUGUUCAUCUGAAUGCUUCUCGU
This is a long non-coding RNA of Vigna unguiculata (cowpea), 442 nucleotides long. NCBI's taxonomy places the organism in Eukaryota, Viridiplantae, Streptophyta, Magnoliopsida, Fabales, Fabaceae. The record is from RefSeq and is a predicted model, not a curated record.